UCCUCUAUAGCUCAGUGGUUAGAGCAUCCAACCGACACUUGGAAGGUCAUGGGUUCGAUUCCCGUUGGGGAGCUCAGAA
Molecule: transfer RNA, 79 nt
Filed under: Desmophyllum pertusum
Lineage: Eukaryota; Metazoa; Cnidaria; Anthozoa; Scleractinia; Caryophylliidae
Description: tRNA-Val
Rfam family: tRNA
About the family: Transfer RNA (tRNA) molecules are approximately 80 nucleotides in length. Their secondary structure includes four short double-helical elements and three loops (D, anti-codon, and T loops). Further hydrogen bonds mediate the characteristic L-shaped molecular structure. tRNAs have two regions of fundamental functional importance: the anti-codon, which is responsible for specific mRNA codon recognition, and the 3' end, to which the tRNAs corresponding amino acid is attached (by aminoacyl-tRNA synthetases). tRNAs cope with the degeneracy of the genetic code in two manners: having more than one tRNA (with a specific anti-codon) for a particular amino acid; and 'wobble' base-pairing, i.e. permitting non-standard base-pairing at the 3rd anti-codon position.
Source: RNAcentral